This 466-nucleotide ribosomal RNA is filed under the name uncultured bacterium. RNAcentral's name for it is "partial 16S ribosomal RNA". It matches the Rfam family "Bacterial small subunit ribosomal RNA", at positions 28 to 507 of the family's 1533-position model. The record is from RNAcentral.
GACGAACGCUGGCGGCGUGCUUAACACAUGCAAGUCGAACGGAAAGGCCCUGCUUGCAGGGUACUCGAGUGGCGAACGGGUGAGUAACACGUGGGUGAUCUGCCCUGCACUUCGGGAUAAGCUUGGGAAACUGGGUCUAAUACCGGAUAGGAGCCAUCUUUAGUGUGGUGGUUGGAAAGUUUUUUCGGUGUAGGAUGAGCUCGCGGCCUAUCAGCUUGUUGGUGGGGUAAUGGCCUACCAAGGCGGCGACGGGUAGCCGGCCUGUGAGGGUGUACGGCCACAUUGGGACUGAGAUACGGCCCAGACUCCUACGGGGGGCAGCAGUGGGGAAUAUUGCACAAUGGGCGCAAGCCUGAUGCAGCGACGCCGCGUGGGGGAUGAAGGCCUUCGGGUUGUAAACUCCUUUCGCUAGGGACGAAGCGUUGUUGUGACGGUACCUAGAUAAGAAGCACCGGCUAACUACGUG